GACGAACGCUGGCGGCGUGCUUAACACAUGCAAGUCGAGCGAUGAAGCUACUGCGGUAGUGAAUUAGCGGCGAACGGGUGAGGAACACGUGAGGAAUCUGCCUUCAACACUGGGAUAACUCCGGGAAACCGGGGCUAAUACCGGAUACGAGCUCUGACCGCAUGGUCGGGGCUGGAAAGUUUUUCGGUUGAAGAUGACCUCGCGGCCUAUCAGCUUGUUGGUGAGGUAAUGGCUCACCAAGGCGACGACGGGUAGCCGGCCUGAGAGGGCGACCGGCCACACUGGGACUGAGACACGGCCCAGACUCCUACGGGAGGCAGCAGUGGGGAAUAUUGGGCAAUGGAGGAAACUCUGACCCAGCGACGCCGCGUGCGGGAUGAAGGCCUUCGGGUUGUAAACCGCUUUCAGUAGGGAAGAAGCGAAAGUGACGGUACCUACAGAAGAAGCACCGGCUAACUAUGUGCCAGCAGCCGCGGUAA
This 479-nucleotide ribosomal RNA is filed under the name uncultured bacterium. Its description in RNAcentral is "partial 16S ribosomal RNA". It matches the Rfam family "Bacterial small subunit ribosomal RNA", at positions 28 to 523 of the family's 1533-position model. The record is from RNAcentral.